This 374-nucleotide ribosomal RNA is filed under the name uncultured eukaryote. RNAcentral's name for it is "partial 18S ribosomal RNA". It matches the Rfam family "Eukaryotic small subunit ribosomal RNA", at positions 592 to 975 of the family's 1831-position model. The record is from RNAcentral.
CAAUAGCGUAUAUUUAAGUUGUUGCAGUUAAAAAGCUCGUAGUUGGAUUUCGGUUAAGAGCGACCGGUCCGCCGUUUGGUGUGCACUGGUUGGUUUUAACUUCCUGUAGAGGACGUGCUCUGGGUUUAACGACCUGGACUCGGAGUCUACGUGGUUACUUUGAAAAAAUUAGAGUGUUCAAAGCGGGCUUACGCUUGAAUAUUUCAGCAUGGAAUAACACUAUAGGACUCCUGUCCUAUUUCGUUGGUCUCGGGACGGGAGUAGUGAUUAAGAGGAACAGUUGGGGGCAUUCGUAUUUCAUUGUCAGAGGUGAAAUUCUUGGAUUUAUGAAAGACGAACUUCUGCGAAAGCAUUUGCCAAGGAUGUUUUCAUUA